GCUGGAACGUCCAGAAAUAAGGGGGUUGAAGAAAGUAAGUAGGCACAUUCCAUGUGAGUGUCUCGUGAACAGAGCAAGAGCCAACAGCAGGUUGAAAUGCAGAUGUAGCCGUGCCCCGGUAUAGACAGCUGAAGCAGUACAGCAGCCUAGGGGAUGGCUGAACCUGGGACCCUGAAUGACAUCAAGGUGCACAACUGCCUUACCAGCUCAGACUGGCCAGCCUGUUGACUAAGAGAGAAAAGAAGCAUUAAGAAAAGACUUGAGGGGGCUUCCCUGGUGGCGCAGUGGUUGAGAAUCUGCCUGCCAAUGCAGGGGA
Long non-coding RNA from Balaenoptera acutorostrata (minke whale), 316 nucleotides. RefSeq lists it as uncharacterized. NCBI's taxonomy places the organism in Eukaryota, Metazoa, Chordata, Mammalia, Artiodactyla, Balaenopteridae. The record is from RefSeq and is a predicted model, not a curated record. The transcript is spliced from 3 exons.